AUGCCUACAUCCUUCCCCAGCGCAGCCACACGCACGAGGCGGGCAGCCACGGGCGUUGGGCGUGUGCGGCUUCACCGGCGCUGCUCGGUCGCCAUGGCUCUGCUGCUAACGGUGUGGACUAGCCACAUCCUACUGCUACUAGUGCAAGGUAAACAGAUCAAGGUGAAUAGAUGCUCAUGGACUGAUUCAAACCGAGGUGAAGAAGUCAAGCAAGAAGGGCUAACACAACAAGUGUUGCCUGUUAUAGAUCCUGAACUUAAGAGUGACACUUUCAAGAUAAAGACAUAUUCAGAAAGUAAAUUAGGGAAAGAGGGACAACAUGCAUCCACCCCGGAGUCCAUUCCCCAUCCUGAAAUGGAUGGCUCUUCCAGCAAAUCUCCACAGUCAGCAACAGUUGCAGAGAUUGAAGUUCCAAAGCCUAAGGGUAGUAUCACUUGUGAUGAUAAGAGUAAAGACAAUGAUUUUCCCUAUGCAAGGCCAGUCGUCUGUAAGAUGUCCGGUGAUGUUCGGAUUGCUCCAGGAAGCUCAUCAGUCAUUCUCAGCAUGCCACUGUAUCAAAGUGCAGAAGGACGACGCGUUAGGCCAUAUGCUCGCCAUGAUGAUUCAUUGCCGCCUCUUGUGAGAGAAGUGGCCAUUAAAACAGUUGCAAAUGGAAGUGACGCUCCUGAAUGCAGCGUCGGACACGGCGACAUACCAGCAGUGGUCUUCUCGGUCGGCGGCUACACCAGAAACUUCUUCCACGACAUGUCGGACGUGCUGAUCCCACUGUACCUGACUGCCUUCCAGUUCAAAGGGCGGGUGCAGUUCUUCGUCACCGACUACAAGCAGUGGUGGCUCAAGAAGUAUAAACCGAUUCUACGGAGGCUGUCGCGCUACGACAUUGUCGAUUUCGACUCGAACAAUGAUGUGCACUGCUUCCACCAUGUGAUCCUUGGGCUGGUGAGGGACAGGGACCUGAUCCUUCGCCGACAUCCUACAAGAAACCCCAAGGGAUACUCCAUGGUAGGAUUCACAAGAUUCUUGCGCCACGCCUACGGUCUCCGACGUAACAGGCCAUUCGUCCUUGGCGAAAACCCCGGCAAGAAGCCGAGGAUGCUGAUCAUAUCUCGCCGAGGGACACGGAGGCUCCUGAACCUACACCGGGUGGAGGCCAUGGCGACGGCGCUAGGAUUCGACGUGACGGUCUCCGAGGCCGGUGGCAACAGCGUCAAGAGGUUCGCAGAGACGGUGAACUCUUGCGACGUGCUGGUGGCGGUCCACGGUGGAGGCCUGACUAACCAGAUGUUCCUCCCAGCGAAGGCUGUGGUGGUGCAGAUCGUGCCAUGGGGCGGGAUGGAGUGGAUGGCCACCAACUUUUACGGUGAGCCGGCGCGUGGCAUGGGCCUUCGGUACCUCGAGUACCAUGUCGCCGGAGAAGAGAGCAGCCUUGCACGGCGGUACCCGAGAGACCAUGCCGUGUUCAGGGACCCCAUGGCCAUCCAUGCGCAGGGGUGGAAGGCGCUGGCGGAGGUGGUGAUGACGCAGGACGUGAGGCUCGAUCUAGACAGGUUCACGCCGACACUCCUACGUGCCCUGGACCUUCUUCAAGAUUAA
RNAcentral lists this ribosomal RNA (1593 nucleotides) under Triticum aestivum (bread wheat). RNAcentral's name for it is "partial small subunit ribosomal RNA". Lineage: Eukaryota; Viridiplantae; Streptophyta; Magnoliopsida; Poales; Poaceae. The record is from RNAcentral.